CCCCCCCCCCCGUCGCCAUGUUUCCUGAACACAAAAUGGCGACACGUGGCCUGGAUUCGUCGCUCAGGAGAAAUUGGGGUCGCCCGAAAGCUCUAGAACGCGCCGUCUCCUGUUCACUGGGACUUCCCUGCGACGGGAGUCCUUAAGAUCCCUCCUGUAGGCUGGUCCGAAACGUGGCGGAAGAAGUUUAAUCCUCCCUCCUUUAAUUUGAAAGGAGAAUGUGAAUAAUAGUAAAAUAGGAAGACACUUAAGCCCAGAGAAAUGAAGUGAGCCAUUCAAAGUCAUACGUUGUCGGGGAUGGAAUCCAGACCUUCUGAUUUCUUUACUGAUCUGGAUUAACUUUUGAAUUCCACAUUACCCAUUUUAUGGAUGAAGCUCCUGAGAUAUGGAACAAUGGAUUGAAUAGUCACCGCCCCAACCCUGGAAUCUCACAUAGGACUCUUCUCACUCAAAUGACCACAGACACUGAAGAUUGUUUUUAUGUUGGAACUUUCAUUGCCCAGAAUGCAAGUUCAUAAAGGAGUGUCAAGUUUCAGCUGGAGGGAAGGUGGCCAGGACAGUUUUUCAGGGAAAUCUGACAGACACAUGAUGCUUUGAGUGAGUUUGUGUGUACAUAUUUUUUCUUUGGAGUAAAGCAUGGAAAAAGAGCUGAGUCCCACAUCUGGGACUGCUUAGAGCAGAGAGAAGAGACCAGCCUCAGGAGCUCGGUUGCCCUGACCCUACAGAAUGUAAGUCCCAUGCUGCUGGAGACCAUCUUGCCACCCUAAGGAGAAUACUGCCCAAGAAUGAAGGCAACACAGAUGACAGCUGAGCUGUGAGAUAGAGAAAACUGGAGAUCAGAUGGUGUCUUGAGUACCUGGAUGUAACCACGUGUUAAACUGGUGGAAUCCUGGACGCUUAUUUUGCGUGGACCUAGACUUUCCCUUUUUUUACCCCUUAUAGAAGUUUGAUUUGAAUCGUCACCUGCUGCCAGAAGUGUCUUAAUUAAUCCAUGUCAUAAAUGGUAUAUCAUUCUCUUACAGAGAAUAUGGCUGGUCACUCCAAACAUCAGCGGAAGUUGGGCAUCUCGGAGAAUAUCUGCCUUCCAGUUCCCAUCGUAUCUCCCAGUCUUUGAGCAAGGUAAGGAGUCCAUGGAAUUACCUGCUUUAGGAACAACUAAGGGCUGGGGGUCAAUCCAAGACUAAAUCUCUGUCAAGAUCCACAAAGGAAGACUUCCUACCUGAAUUCAAUUUGUGUUGACUCCUUUCCACCCACCCCAUGGAUAGAACCAUAAAGAGACAUCAACUUGACCACAGUAA
Non-coding RNA from Marmota flaviventris (yellow-bellied marmot), 1298 nucleotides. The record is from RefSeq and is a predicted model, not a curated record. NCBI's taxonomy places the organism in Eukaryota, Metazoa, Chordata, Mammalia, Rodentia, Sciuridae.